GUACAAGUGGUGGGAGGAAGGCUGGUUAAACUGUUUGGUUUUCGACCACUAGGACCCGGGUUCGAUUCCCGCAUUGGACA
Molecule: transfer RNA, 80 nt
Filed under: Cordylochernes scorpioides
Lineage: Eukaryota; Metazoa; Arthropoda; Arachnida; Pseudoscorpiones; Chernetidae
Description: tRNA-Glu
Source: RNAcentral